UGCUCUUGUGGCUUCCAUGCAGAAGUGCACGGAAACAGCUAUUUGCUAUUGAAAAGUUGGCUGUUACUGUUCUUCUGAUGGAUGCUGCUGGAUU
RNAcentral lists this microRNA precursor (94 nucleotides) under Columba livia (rock pigeon). RNAcentral describes it as "microRNA cli-mir-2131 precursor". It matches the Rfam family "mir-2131 microRNA precursor family". Lineage: Eukaryota; Metazoa; Chordata; Aves; Columbiformes; Columbidae. The record is from miRBase by way of RNAcentral.